This 3437-nucleotide ribosomal RNA is filed under the name Sclerospora graminicola. RNAcentral describes it as "eukaryotic LSU rRNA". The stretch from base 797 to 3437 matches the Rfam family "Eukaryotic large subunit ribosomal RNA". Lineage: Eukaryota; Oomycota; Peronosporomycetes; Peronosporales; Peronosporaceae. The record is from RNAcentral.
GACGUGCAAAUCGAUCGUUGAACUUGGGUAUAGGGGCGAAAGACUAACUCCAGAUGGAGCUCAAGAAGCCUUCGGUGACUCCUGAUCCGUGGGUACGCGAUAUCUGGAAUAUUACAUGCGUCGUAACUAGUCCGCAGCGAACUUUUCCAUUUCGCUUGGGGAUAACGCCGACGCUACACCUGAACUCUCUGCACCGGACCAACGGAGCCUGCUCAUUUUGUUUUCGUAGUUUUGCGGGCGUCGCGCGCGUCAAGGCCCUCUGGGUGUGGACGUGCCUGACCACAAGGAAGGAUUGUGUCUGAAGGAAAGGUUGCGGGAUGUCUAGGACCUAUUUUGGUUUUCUAUUUCUUUGAAAUAGCAGUGGAUCUGCUUGCACAGGGGUGUGGCAGAUCGCCUAGUCCUAGGGAAGACUAGGUCCCUUGUUCCAUCAAUUUGGUGAUGGGUCGGGUGUGAAGACGUCCCAUGGGGGGUACACCGAGUGUACCUCCAAGUGUAGCUGGUGUAGUUGAAAUCAACUCCCUUGAGUCGAAGCCCGUAGGGUAGGACUGGUGUACAUUGCCACCGCAGAAAGGGCGGAUGCACGUCACCUAGGUGAUGCAUAUAUUUUGAUCGCCCACGACGUUCGCGUUGUGGCUACGAGAGGGGUAUGUGUGUGGACGACGGUGCAGAAAUCCGUCGGCUGUUGUUCAUGAGGGGGAGUUUUGGUGGGUAAAAGCCCCACACUACCCUGGCCCUUAACCUUAAAAGUAGCUCCGGCGGUACUGUCUGCGAGUGAAAUGAGGGGGUCGGGGUGUGCUGACCUCACGUCACUGUAAGGUGGCGUUCGGGAACCAUGAUGAAGGUACGCUGCACUGCCGGAACAUGGGAAACGUUACCGAAAGGUAGAGCGAUAGCGGUCUUCGGGCCGUAGGGCAUUUCUCCUCCUACUAUGCAUUCGCUUAUGUAAAAAAAAAAAAAAAAAAAAAAGGGGCGAAAGACUAAUCGAACCAUCUAGUAGCUGGUUCCCUCCGAAAUCUCCCUCAGGAUAGCAACAACUUAUUUACGAUAGUUUUAUGAGGUAAAGCGAAUGAUUAGAGGAUUCGGGGAAGAAACUUUCUCGACCUAUUCUCAAACUUUAAAUCUGUAAGACCUGUAGGUUUCUUAAUUGAACUUGCAGACUGUGAAUAUCAAGUUGUUAGUGGGCCAUACGGGGUAAACUCGUCUGGCGAUGCGGGAUGAACCGAACGCAAAGUUAAAGUGCCAAAAUGCUCGCUCACCCAGAUACCAUAAAAGGUGUUGGUUCAUUUAGACAGCAGGACGGUGGCCAUGGAAGUCGGAAUCCGCUAAGGAGUGUGUAACAACUCACCUGCCGAAUGAACUAGACCUGAAAAUGGAUGGCGCUAAAGCGGGCUGCUUAUACUUUGCCGUUAACGCGAUAUCAUUUUUAAUGUAAGUGUUAAUGAGUAGGAGGGCGUGAGGGUUGUGAAGAAGCUUGUGGCGUGAGCCUGAGUGAAACGGCCUUCAGUGCAGAUCUUGGUGGUAGUAGCAAAUAUUCAAAAGCGAACUUUGAAGACUGAAGUGGAGAAAGGUUCCGUGUGAUCAGUAAUUGGACACGGGUGAGUCGAUCCUAAGAGAUAGGAUAAUUCCGUUUGAAAGCUUGGUUGUUUGGGGCGUGGGGUUUUACCUCGUGUUUUGUAUGCAACCUCGUGAUCGAAAGGGAAUCAGGUUAAUAUUCCUGAACCGAGAAGUGGAUAAUAUGUGGUAACACAACCGACCCAGGAGACGUUAGCGUGGACCCAGGGGAGAGUUCUCUCUUCUUUUUAACAAGCAUGUCCUACCUUGGAAACGGAUUAUCCGGCGAUAAGGAGGAUCCCUUGGCAAAGCACUUUAUUUUUUGAAGUGUCCUGUGUGUUCAUGGUAGCCCUUGAAAAUCCUGGUUAGAGAUUUAUUCGCACCCUCGUUCGUACUCAUAACCGCAUCAGGUCUCCAAGGUGAGCAGCCUCUAGUUGAUAGAAGAAUGUAGAUAAGGGAAGUCGGCAACAUAGAUCCGUAACUUCGGGAUAAGGAUUAGCUCUGAGGGUUGGGUUUGAGGGUCUUUUUGGAGAACUUGUUGUGACCUACGUUAGACUGCGACUGGACCCUUCGGGGACCGGAUGCGGACCGACGGUCGGGAUGCUCUCGUUGUGCCAGAAAGAAAGGUGGAUGGCUUUCGGGCUGACUACUGUUUCCUUGAGCGUUGAACAACUGUCUCAGAACUGGAGCGGACAAGGGGAAUCCGACUGUUUAAUUAAAACAAAGCAUUGUGAUGGCCGGAGACGGUGUUGACACAAUGUGAUUUCUGCCCAGUGCUCUGAAUGUCAAAGUGAAGAAAUUCAACCAAGCGCGGGUAAACGGCGGGAGUAACUAUGACUCUCUUAAGGUAGCCAAAUGCCUCGUCAUCUAACUAGUGACGCGCAUGAAUGGAUUAAUGAGAUUCCCACUGUCCCUAUCUACUGUCUAGCGAACCCACAGCCAAGGGAACGGGCUUGGAAUAAUCAGCGGGGAAAGAAGACCCUGUUGAGCUUGACUCUAGUCUGAUGUUGUGAAAUGACUUGGGAGGUGUAGAAUAAGUGGGAGGCUUUUGCCGUCAGUGAAAUACCACUACUCUCAAUGUUGUUACACUUAUAUCAUGAUGUAAUAUCUGCGUUGCUUCGCGGCGGCCCAGUUAUAGUUGGAAGCUUGGACUUUUGUCUGGGUGAAUUACGUGAAAAACAUCAUCAGGCGGGGAGUUUGGCUGGGGCGGCACAUCUGUUAAAUGAUAACACAGGUGUCCUAAGGUGAGCUCAAUGAGAACAGAAAUCUCAUGUAGAACAAAAGGGUAAAAGCUCACUUGAUUUUGAUUUUCAGUAUGAAUACAAACCGUGAAAGCGUGGCCUAUCGAUCCUUUAGUACUUUCGAAUUUUAAGCUAGAGGUGUCAGAAAAGUUACCACAGGGAUAACUGGCUUGUGGCAGCCAAGCGUCCAUAGCGACGUUGCUUUUUGAUUCUUCGAUGUCGGCUCUUCCUAUCAUUGCGAAGUAGAACUCGCCAAUUGUUGGAUUGUUCAUCCACUAAUAGGAAACGUGAGCUGGGUUUAGACCGUCGUGAGACAGGUUAGUUUUACCCUACUGAUGAGUUCGUUGUCUAAACAGUAAUCCAACCCAGUACGAGAGGAACCGUUGGUUCAGAUAAUUGGUAACUGCGGUUAGCUGAAAAGCUAGUGCCGCCAAGCUACCAUCUGUCGGAUUAUGGCUGAACGCCUCUAAGUCAGAAUCCAUGCUGGAAUAGACGAUAAUCACCUUUCCUGAUGUAACGCGAAUAGCGAUAGGUGUCCUUUGGACACCCAACAUCAUACAAUUGCAACGAAACUCGCUAUCUGUCAAAUAUCGAUAGUGGGGAGUAGGCUGAUUUGUAAUUUCAAAUAUUGGGAAAGAUAAAUCC